RNAcentral lists this unclassified non-coding RNA (257 nucleotides) under Hevea brasiliensis (rubber tree). The record is from RNAcentral. Lineage: Eukaryota; Viridiplantae; Streptophyta; Magnoliopsida; Malpighiales; Euphorbiaceae.
CAGGAGGAAAAGAUUGACAGCUCGCUUGAGUUUCUUAUCCUUGCAAGUGAUGGAUUAUGGGAUGUUGUCUCCAAUGAGGUUUCCUAAUGAGUUUUCAUACCAUGGGGGAUUUUGUCUUAGAAUACGACUUUGUUUGCAUUAAACUCAAUUGAAGACAGAAUGGGCAGUUCAUUGUUGCCUGCUUAUCUGAUGCUGUAUCUUUUUCUCAGGAAGCUGUUGAAAUGACCAAGCCAAUUGAGGACCCAGAGCAGGCAGCA